Molecule: ribosomal RNA, 589 nt
Filed under: uncultured bacterium
Lineage: Bacteria
Description: bacterial SSU rRNA
Rfam family: Bacterial small subunit ribosomal RNA
Source: RNAcentral
CCUACGGGAGGCAGCAGUGGGGAAUCUUGCGCAAUGGGGGAAACCCUGACGCAGCAACGCCGCGUGGGUGAUGAAGGCCUUCGGGUCGUAAAGCCCUGUCAGGUGGGAAGAAACUUGUGGAUGUCAACACCAUCCAUGCUUGACGGUACCACCGGAGGAAGCACCGGCUAACUCCGUGCCAGCAGCCGCGGUAAUACGGAGGGUGCAAGCGUUGUUCGGAAUUAUUGGGCGUAAAGCGCGUGUAGGUGGUCGUGUAAGUCAGAUGUGAAAGCCUUCUGCUUAACAGAAGAAGUGCAUUUGAAACUGCUCGGCUAGAGUACGGGAGAGGAGAGUGGAAUUCCCGGUGUAGAGGUGAAAUUCGUAGAUAUCGGGAGGAACACCAGUGGCGAAGGCGGCUCUCUGGUCCGAUACUGACGCUGAGACGCGAAAGCGUGGGGAGCAAACAGGAUUAGAUACCCUGGUAGUCCACGCCGUAAACGAUGGGCACUAGGUGUAGGAGGUAUUGACCCCUUGCUGUGCCGAAGCUAACGCAUUAAGUGCCCCGCCUGGGGAGUACGGCCGCAAGGCUAAAACUCAAAGGAAUUGACGG